CCUGAUAGCUCAGUUGGUAAAGAAUCUGCCUGCAAUGCAGGAGGCCCGGGUUCAAUCCCUGGGUCAGGA
Molecule: transfer RNA, 69 nt
Filed under: Ovis aries (sheep)
Lineage: Eukaryota; Metazoa; Chordata; Mammalia; Artiodactyla; Bovidae
Rfam family: tRNA
About the family: Transfer RNA (tRNA) molecules are approximately 80 nucleotides in length. Their secondary structure includes four short double-helical elements and three loops (D, anti-codon, and T loops).
Source: Rfam by way of RNAcentral